ACGUAGGUCACAAGCGUUGUCCGGAAUUACUGGGUGUAAAGGGAGCGCAGGCGGGAAGACAAGUUGGAAGUGAAAUCUAUGGGCUCAACCCAUAAACUGCUUUCAAAACUGUUUUUCUUGAGUAGUGCAGAGGUAGGCGGAAUUCCCGGUGUAGCGGUGGAAUGCGUAGAUAUCGGGAGGAACACCAGUGGCGAAGGCGGCCUACUGGGCACCAGCUGACGCUGAGGCUCGAAAGUGUGGGUAGCAAACAG
RNAcentral lists this ribosomal RNA (251 nucleotides) under uncultured bacterium. RNAcentral's name for it is "partial 16S ribosomal RNA". It matches the Rfam family "Bacterial small subunit ribosomal RNA", at positions 525 to 775 of the family's 1533-position model. The record is from RNAcentral.